UACGGAGGGUGCAAGCGUUGCUCGGAAUUAUUGGGCGUAAAGGGUAGGUAGGUGGUCUCAUUUGUCUGGGGUGAAAGCCUUGAGCUUAACUCAAGAAGUGCCCCAGAAACGGUGAGACUAGAGUCCUGGAGAGGGUCGUGGAAUUCCCGGUGUAGCGGUGAAAUGCGUAGAGAUCGGGAGGAACACCCGUGGCGAAGGCGGCCAGCUGGGCCGGACCUGACGCUGAGGCGCGAAGGCGUGGGGAGCGAACGGG
This 253-nucleotide ribosomal RNA is filed under the name uncultured bacterium. Its description in RNAcentral is "partial 16S ribosomal RNA". It matches the Rfam family "Bacterial small subunit ribosomal RNA", at positions 524 to 776 of the family's 1533-position model. The record is from RNAcentral.